This 1635-nucleotide ribosomal RNA is filed under the name Triticum aestivum (bread wheat). RNAcentral's name for it is "partial small subunit ribosomal RNA". Lineage: Eukaryota; Viridiplantae; Streptophyta; Magnoliopsida; Poales; Poaceae. The record is from RNAcentral.
CUUGCCCUGGGACAAAGUGAGGUGAUAGAGGUCAACCAUAUACUAAUCCUCGGAUGGAGCAACAAGCUGGGCUCUCUUCUGAAGCAGCUAGCUAUAGCAAAUAAAAGCAUUGGUGGUGGUGUAGUUGUUGUCCUCGCAGAAAGAAACAAGGAAGAGAUGGAGAUGGACAUAGGAAAGCUAGGAUUUGACUUCAUGGGAACAUCUGUAAUAUGUAGAAGCGGCAGUCCUCUAAUCCUAGCAGAUCUAAAGAAGGUUUCUGUUUCCGAAGCACGUGUUAUUAUUGUUUUAGCACCUGAUGAAAAUGCAGACCAAAGUGAUGCACGAGCUUUGCGUCUCGUACUGAGCCUGACUGGAGUAAAAGAGGGCUUAGGGCAUAUUGUUGUAGAGAUGAGUGACCUUGACAAUGAACCUUUAGUGAAAUUGGUUGGAGGUGAACUAAUUGAAACAGUUGUUUCCCAUGAUGUCAUUGGACGUUUGAUGAUACAGUGUGCACUCCAACCUGGCUUGGCACAGAUAUGGGAGGAUAUUUUGGGAUUUGAAAAUGCAGAAUUUUGUAUAAAAAGAUGGCCAAAAUUGGAUGGCAUGCGGUUUGGCGAUGUGUUAAUCUCAUUCCCUAACGCUGUGCCCUGCGGAGUGAAGCUUGCGUCAGCAUUUGGAAGUAUAUUAAUGAAUCCGGAUGAUGAUUAUGUUUUAAGAGAAGGUGAUGAGAUCCUUGUUAUAGCAGAAGAUGAUGAUACUUAUGCACCUGCUCCUCUACCAGAGCUGCAUAAGGGUUUUCUACCUAACGUUCCCACCCCUCCUAAAUAUCCAGAGAAAAUUUUGUUCUGUGGUUGGCGACGUGACAUUCACCAUAUGAUAAUGGUUCUAGAAGCAUUUCUUGCUCCGGGCUCUGAAUUGUGGAUGUUCAAUGAGGUGCCAGAGAAGGCGAGGGAGGCAAAACUGACUGACAGUGGUAUGGAUAUUCUUGGACUAACAAACAUUAAACUUGUACACAAAGAAGGGAAUGUUGCCAUCAGGCGGCACUUAGAAAGCUUGCCUCUUGAGACCUUUGAUUCUAUUUUAAUUCUUGCAGAUGAGUCGGUGGAGGACUCCGUUGUACAAUCGGAUUCACGGUCCAUAGCUACACUUCUUCUAAUUCGUGACAUUCAGUCCAGACGUCUUCCAUCAUCGAAGGAGUCAAAAUCACCUCUACAUCACAAUAGCUUUUCUCACAGCUCAUGGAUUCGGAAGAUGCAACGUGCAUCGGACAGAUCAAUAAUAAUCAGUGAGAUACUGGACUCAAGAACUAGAAACCUUGUAUCUGUCUCCAAAAUCAGCGAUUACGUCCUGUCAAAUGAACUUGUCAGUAUGGCAUUAGCAAUGGUAGCAGAAGACAAGCAAAUCAACAGAGUUCUCCAGGAACUUUUCGCUGAGGAGGGCAACGAGAUGUGCAUACGGUCUGCUGAGUUUUACCUGUACGAACAAGAGGAGUUAAGUUUCCUGGACAUAAUGGUGAGGGCUCGUGAGAGAGACGAGAUUGUGAUCGGCUACCGGCUUGCAAACACCGAUGAGGCAAUCAUUAAUCCAGAGCAUAAGUCGGAGAUUAAGAAGUGGUCUUUAGACGACAUGUUUGUUGUGAUCGCGAAAGGUGACUGA